Molecule: long non-coding RNA, 2707 nt
Organism: Equus asinus (donkey)
Lineage: Eukaryota; Metazoa; Chordata; Mammalia; Perissodactyla; Equidae
Source: Ensembl
CUCCAGCCCCUACCUCAACCUCAGCGCAAAUGUCUCUCCUCCAUGACCUCCCCUUCUUCAGCCCUGGGCACCUUCUCCUACCAGCACUGCCCCACUGUGCCGGCUGAGAGCGGAGUUGCAGGUGUGUCUCUACUCCGCCCCGGCCGCUCGGGAGGGGAGCGGUGGGCGCGGGGGAGCGGCUGGAGCAGGGUCAGCCCUUGAGAGCCCCGGCGCGGUGCGCGCCGACCCAGCGAGUUCCGUGGCUCUGCUGAGGGAACAAACUUGUGGCGGAUCAGACAGCGGAGAGCAGUCACCGCAGGGCGGCCAGCCGGACCGGGGACGGCGCGAACCGGACAGCCAGUGGCCCAAGGCAGGGGCCAGCCUGUCCCUCCCUCCCCGCCCUCGCUCUCCCUCUCCCGCCCUCAGCCCGGCCUCUCAACUCCCUACUUCGCGUGUCCACAAACUCUGAACGCCCAGUGUCCGCGCAUCGCCGCCGCCGGAGUUCUCCACCCUGCGUCCCGGGGGCCCUUCCCAGCUUCUCCUCCUCCCACCUUGGGGGAACCUAGCGGAGCCAGGCGGGGACGGCUCCCCGGCGGGUGGAGCAGCCAGGUGAGCCCAGAAAGGUGGGGCGGGGCGGGAGCGCUCCGGGCCCCACCCCGGGAUCCGGUGACGCCGGGGCUGGAAUUUGACACCGGACGGCGGCGGGCAUGAGACUGCUGAGGGAUGGAGUUGGGCCCGGCCCCCAGACACGGCCCACGGGCUCCACCAGCAGCAGGUCCCUCGGGCCCCAGCCCUCCCUGCGUCCCAGACCCAGGGCCCUGCACCCGCGGUAAGCUGACCUGUUUGCCCACCCCUCGUCCCAGCCCUGGGUUUAGGGGGAGCAGUCAGAAUAGUUCCCCUCCACUCUUUUCUUACAUCCUCCCUCUCCUGGGCCCAAUGCGCAGCUCUCCGCCCCUCCCAGCCCCCUCAGUCCUUCUUGUCGCUGGUCCGACUGCGGACGCCCUGCCAGCCCGCUGUAAUGUGAGGCUCUCACUGCUGCUACAGGGCACAGACUGGCUGCCAAGGCCACACUUUUGGCUAAAAGGCGCUGCCAGGUGCAUAGUCCUGGGCAUGAGCCUUUUGAGCUGCGGGGGAAAGCCGGGCACUGGUCCCAGGAAAGGUGCCUAGAAGAACACGGCGCAGGAUUCCUGUGUGAGAGCCUGGCCCCUCAGGGCCCGUUUUCAAUUAGCUGAUCACACUUGGCCCUGAAGGACCCCACCAGGGAGGCCUGGGAGAUCCAGACCACAGGUAUGAGGCAUUCUGUGUGCUUGGGGGUGGGGGUGAAGGUGACGGCUGGGACCCAAGAGUUGGCCAGUUACUGAGGGCUCAUGAGGGCUCUGGGGCCCCGGAGUAUUUGGGAGUGCCGGCCAAUGUGGACUCAUGAAGGCUGGUGGGACUCAGAAAGGCUGGCUGAGCUCAGGAAGCAUGGCUCGUGGGACGAACUUCUAGGAGCAGGGCCAGGCUGCCAGAUCCACAGGAAGCUGGAAUGGGACAGACUUGGCCCAGCUCUCAGAGACCAGGCUGGUAUGGAGGCCUGGCUGGCCCUCCUGGGAGUUGCUCGGCCUGAGUCUGGCUGAGUGUCUGGAAAAGCCCACCCUCCUUUGAGUCUGCAGGUUUGGCGGAUGCUGCCCCCUGGUGGCCCUAGAGAGCCACGGCCCAGGCCCCCAUGCUCUUGACCUCUCAGCCCCCACCAUUUGUGGUCAGAAGAGAGAACUGAGGGGGCUCUGGGUCCAGAUAGGAAUCACAGAGGAGCAAGGUGCAGCAGGCUGGGUGGGCUGCACAGGCUGAGGGCCUGGGCCUCACGAUCGUCAGACAACACUCAGGUCACCCAGCAAGCAUCCUAAUUCUUCUCCAGGCCACAACUUCCUCCUCUGCAGCCUGGAGAGAAGACUGUAGGACGAGGGCGUCCAACUACUCUCUUCUCCAGCCAAUCCUGGCAGCUCCAGCCCUGCAGCACAGAGCAGGAAGGUCCUGGGGAAAGAGACUCCCCCCACCCGCUGUGUGGGCCUAGCCUUGGGACCUUAGCAGUCGCUGAGCUUCUCUGAGCCUAGUUUGCUCAUCUGGAAAAUGGAGAUUACACCGUUUACCUCGUGGAGUUGUGAGGACUGAAAGAGGGCACAGAUGCAAAGUGCCAAGACAUAGUUUCUCCAUGCAGCUCUCUCUCGUCCUCCUGGGUCGAGUCUAGCUCCCCAAGCCCCUUGUUCCUCACCUGGGGAAACGGAAGUGGAGGGAUGAGCUGCUCAAAGGAUAACCCAUCUUUCAAUGUUCGAAGCUGCCUCAAGAGGAGGGUGGGGAAACAGGUCAACUGCGGCUGAUGGGAGCUCUUGGUAGUGACAGAGAUGGAACCUGGAUGUGGAGGCCCUUCUGAGCCGCCCCACGGGCCUCGGCCUAGGCGGCUGCCGGCCUUGUGGCCAACCCUGGCCGCUCUGGCCCUGCUGAGCAGCGUCGCCGAGGCCUCCCUGGGCCCCGCGCCCCGCAGCCCCGCCACCCGCGAAGGCCCCGCGCCCGUCCCGGCGCCCCCCGCCGGCCACCUGCCCGGUAGGUGAGAGGGCGAGGGGCGGGGGCGGGCGGGGGCUGGCCCGGGACCCCGCCCGUGACUCCGUCUCAUUCCAGGGGGCCGCGCGGCCCGCGUAUGCGGCGGAAGAGCCCGGCGGCCGUCGCCGCAGCCUGCCCGGCCCGCGCCCCCGCC